This 253-nucleotide ribosomal RNA is filed under the name uncultured bacterium. Its description in RNAcentral is "partial 16S ribosomal RNA". It matches the Rfam family "Bacterial small subunit ribosomal RNA", at positions 524 to 776 of the family's 1533-position model. The record is from RNAcentral.
CACGUAGGGUGCAAGCGUUGUCCGGAAUUAUUGGGCGUAAAGGGCGCGUAGGCGGCUUUGCAAGUGACGGGUGAAAUCCCUCGGCUUAACCGAGGAACUGCCUGUCAAACUGCAUGGCUUGAGACCGGGAGAGGCGAGUGGAAUUCCUGGUGUAGCGGUGAAAUGCGCAGAUAUCAGGAGGAACACCAAUUGCGAAGGCAGCUCGCUGGGACGUUACUGACGCUGAGACGCGAAAGCGUGGGGAGCAAACAGG